UGGAUAGAAAAAUAUGCUUCAUGUGGGGCGAAAGAAACUUCGAUUAAAUCUGUUCUGCAGGCGUUGCCGGUGUACGCCAUGAUCUUUAAAUUCCCAGCAUCACUAUGCGAGGAGAUGUCGCAGAUGAUUAGAAAUUUCUAGUGGGGUGAUGAGGAGAAUAGGAGGAAGACUCAUUGGCUGGCCUGGGAUAAAAUGACUAGGCUUAAAUGUGAGGGUGGUAUGGGUUUCCGCAAUCUUGGAUUAUUUAAUCAGGCUCUCCUAGCUAAGCAGGCUUGGAGACUGGUGGUUAAUCCUGACUCUCUGUGCGCCAAAGUGAUCAAGGCAAAAUAUUACCCCCCCCAAGGGCAUAUUCUAGACAAUGCUUUUCCAUAG
Molecule: ribosomal RNA, 372 nt
Filed under: Triticum aestivum (bread wheat)
Lineage: Eukaryota; Viridiplantae; Streptophyta; Magnoliopsida; Poales; Poaceae
Description: partial small subunit ribosomal RNA
Source: RNAcentral